Non-coding RNA from Triticum aestivum (bread wheat), 135 nucleotides. The record is from Rfam. Lineage: Eukaryota; Viridiplantae; Streptophyta; Magnoliopsida; Poales; Poaceae.
GAAAUACUCCCUACGUCUCAAAAUUCUUGUCUUAAAUUUGUCUAGAUACAGAUGUACCUAAUACUAAAAUGUGACUUCAUACAUCCGUAUUUGGACAAAUCUAAAACAAGAAUUUUUGGACGGAUGGAGUAAUUC